CAUGCGGAUUAAUUCGAUGCAACGCGAAGAACCUUACCAGGGCUUGACAUGCACCGGAAACCGCCAGAGAUGGUGGCUCCGUAAGGCUGGUGCACAGGUGGUGCAUGGUUGUCGUCAGCUCGUGUCGUGAGAUGUUGGGUUAAGUCCCGCAACGAGCGCAACCCUCGUCCCAUGUUGCCAGCGGGUGAUGCCGGGGACUCAUGGGAGACUGCCGGGGUCAACUCGGAGGAAGGUGGGGAUGAUGUCAAAUCAUCAUGCCCCUUAUGUCUUGGGCUUCACGCAUGCUACAAUGGCCGGUACAAAGGGCUGCGAUACCGCGAGGUGGAGCGAAUCCCAGAAAGCCGGUCUCAGUUCGGAUUGGGGUCUGCAACUCGAGCCCAUGAAGUUGGAAUCGCUAGUAAUCGUGGAUCAGCAUGCCACGGUGAAUACGUUCCCGGGCCUU
This 442-nucleotide ribosomal RNA is filed under the name uncultured Micrococcineae bacterium. RNAcentral's name for it is "bacterial SSU rRNA". It matches the Rfam family "Bacterial small subunit ribosomal RNA", at positions 938 to 1382 of the family's 1533-position model. Lineage: Bacteria; Bacillati; Actinomycetota; Actinomycetes; Micrococcales. The record is from RNAcentral.